This 372-nucleotide ribosomal RNA is filed under the name uncultured organism. RNAcentral's name for it is "bacterial SSU rRNA". It matches the Rfam family "Bacterial small subunit ribosomal RNA", at positions 526 to 896 of the family's 1533-position model. The record is from RNAcentral.
CGUAGGUGGCGAGCGUUGUCCGGAAUUACUGGGUGUAAAGGGCGUGUAGGCGGGAAUGCAAGUCAGAUGUGAAAUGCCGAGGCUUAACCUCGGAGCUGCAUCUGAAGCUGUGUUUCUUGAGUGUCGGAGAGGAAAGUGGAAUUCCCAGUGUAGCGGUGAAAUGCGUAGAUAUUGGGAGGAACACCAGUGGCGAAGGCGACUUUCUGGACGAUAACUGACGCUGAGGCGCGAAAGCGUGGGGAGCAAACAGGAUUAGAUACCCUGGUAGUCCACGCCGUAAACGAUGGAUACUAGGUGUAGGAGGUAUCGACCCCUUCUGUGCCGCAGUUAACACAAUAAGUAUCCCACCUGGGGAGUACGGCCGCAAGGUUG